UAGCUGAGCGGUAAAGCACUUGGCUUCCGAACAGGGGAUCCAGGUUGGAAUCCUGG
Molecule: non-coding RNA, 56 nt
Organism: Biomphalaria glabrata
Lineage: Eukaryota; Metazoa; Mollusca; Gastropoda; Planorbidae
Source: Rfam